CCAGACUCCUACGGGAGGCAGCAGUGGGGGAUAUUGCACAAUGGGGGGAACCCUGAUGCAGCGACGCCGCGUGAACGAAGAAAUAUUUCGGUAUGUAAAGUUCUAUCAGCAGGGAAGAAAAUGACAGUACCUGACCAAGAAGCCCCGGCUAACUACGUGCCAGCAGCCGCGGUAAUACGUAGGGGGCGAGCGUUAUCCGGAUUCACUGGGCGUAAAGGGAGCGCAGGCGGCACGGCAAGUCCGGUGUGAAAGCCCGGGGCCCAACCCCGGGACUGCACUGGAAACUGCCGGGCUGGAGUGUCGGAGGGGCAGGCGGAAUUCCUAGUGUAGCGGUGAAAUGCGUAGAUAUUAGGAGGAACACCGGUGGCGAAGGCGGCCUGCUGGACGACGACUGACGCUGAGGCUCGAAAGCGUGGGGAGCAAACAGGAUUAGAUACCCGAGUA
RNAcentral lists this ribosomal RNA (444 nucleotides) under uncultured bacterium. RNAcentral's name for it is "partial 16S ribosomal RNA". It matches the Rfam family "Bacterial small subunit ribosomal RNA", at positions 331 to 792 of the family's 1533-position model. The record is from RNAcentral.